This 434-nucleotide ribosomal RNA is filed under the name uncultured bacterium. Its description in RNAcentral is "partial 16S ribosomal RNA". It matches the Rfam family "Bacterial small subunit ribosomal RNA", at positions 29 to 507 of the family's 1533-position model. The record is from RNAcentral.
AGCGAACGCUGGCGGCAGGCCUAACACAUGCAAGUCGAACGAACCUUUCGGGGUUAGUGGCGGACGGGUGAGUAACACGUGGGAACGUGCCUUUAGGUUCGGAAUAACUCAGGGAAACUUGUGCUAAUACCGAAUGUGCCCUUCGGGGGAAAGAUUUAUCGCCUUUAGAGCGGCCCGCGUCUGUUUAGCUAGUUGGUUGAGGUAAUGGCUCACCAAGGCGACGAUCAGUAGCUGGUCUGAGAGGAUGAUCAGCCACAUUGGGACUGAGACACGGCCCAAACUCCUACGGGAAGCAGCAGUGGGGAAUCUUGCGCAAUGGGCGAAAGCCUGACGCAGCCAUGCCGCGUGAAUGAUGAAGGUCUUAGGAUUGUAAAAUUCUUUCACCGGGGACGAUAAUGACGGUACCCGGAGAAGAAGCCCCGGCUAACUUCGUG